This 392-nucleotide ribosomal RNA is filed under the name uncultured bacterium. RNAcentral describes it as "partial 16S ribosomal RNA". It matches the Rfam family "Bacterial small subunit ribosomal RNA", at positions 523 to 918 of the family's 1533-position model. The record is from RNAcentral.
AUACGGAGGAUCCGAGCGUUAUCCGGAUUUAUUGGGUUUAAAGGGUGCGCAGGCGGCCAUUUAAGUCCGCGGUUAAAUCGUGGGGCUCAACCCCAUUCUGCCGUUGAUACUGGGUGGCUUGAUUGCGGUCGAGGUUGGCGGAAUUCGUUGUGUAGCGGUGAAAUGCAUAGAUAUGACGAAGAACACCGAUUGCGUAGGCAGCUGACCAGACCGCAAAUGACGCUCAUGCACGAAAGUGCGGGGAUCGAACAGGAUUAGAUACCCUGGUAGUCCGCACAGUAAACGAUGAAUACUUGUUUUCGGCGAUAUAAUGUCGGAGGCAAAGCGAAAGCGAUAAGUAUUCCACCUGGGGAGUACGCCGGCAACGGUGAAACUCAAAUGAAUUGACGGGG